AUUGAACGCUGGCGGCAUGCCUUACACAUGCAAGUCGAACGGCAGCACGGGUGCUUGCACCUGGUGGCGAGUGGCGAACGGGUGAGUAAUACAUCGGAACGUACCUUAUCGUGGGGGAUAACGCAGCGAAAGCUGUGCUAAUACCGCAUAAGCCCUGAGGGGGAAAGCGGGGGCUCGAAAGACCUCGCGCGAUUAGAGCGGCCGAUGCCUGAUUAGCUUGUUGGUGGGGUAAAAGCCCACCAAGGCGACGAUCAGUAGCUGGUCUGAGAGGACGAUCAGCCACACUGGAACUGAGACACGGCGCAGACUCCUACGGGAAGCAGCAGUGGGGAAUUUUGGACAAUGGGGGCAACCCUGAUCCAGCAAUGCCGCGUGAGUGAAGAAGGCCUUCGGGUUGUAAAGCUCUUUUGUCAGGGAAGAAACACCGGCUCUAACACAGUCCGGGAAUGACGGUACCUGAAGAAUAAGCACCGGCUAACUACGUGCCAGCCGCCGCCGUAA
This 501-nucleotide ribosomal RNA is filed under the name uncultured bacterium. RNAcentral describes it as "partial 16S ribosomal RNA". It matches the Rfam family "Bacterial small subunit ribosomal RNA", at positions 30 to 523 of the family's 1533-position model. The record is from RNAcentral.